RNAcentral lists this microRNA precursor (117 nucleotides) under Arabidopsis thaliana x Arabidopsis arenosa. RNAcentral's name for it is "MIR398". It matches the Rfam family "MIR398 microRNA precursor family". The record is from RNAcentral. Lineage: Eukaryota; Viridiplantae; Streptophyta; Magnoliopsida; Brassicales; Brassicaceae.
UGGAUCUCGACAGGGUCGACAUGAGAACAUAUGAGCUAUCAACGGCUGUAAAUGACGCUACGUCAUUAUUACAUCUCUGGGUUUCAUGUGUUCUCAGGUCACCCCUGCUGAGCUCUU